GCGCGCAAGCGCCAACCAUCCCGGCUGACCUGGAUCAAGCUGGGCGACGUGGGAACCAAUUUCUUUCAUGCAAAGAUCCGCUCGAGACGCAGAAAGAACUUCAUCCACAGCCUGAGGACGAGCAACGGAAUCGCCACGUCGCACGAGGACAAGGAGGCAGCCAUCUUCGAGCAUUUCAACUCCGUCCUCGGCUCCAAAGGUGCUCGCCCUAGAGCCAUAAACUGGAGCCAGCUGCAGCUGCCCACAAUCCAAGGAGGGGGCAUCGACAACCCCUUCUCCGAGGACGAAGUUUGGGAGGCGAUCAAGGCCUCGACGACAAAAAAAGCUCCGGGCCCGGACGGAUUCAUAGGAACCUUCUUCCGUAGUUGCCGGCAAACCAUCAAACACGACAUCAUGAGGGCUUUCCACCAGUUCUACUCCAUUGCCGGCGAAGAUCUAGAUGCACUCAACUCUGCCAUGGUAGUUUUGAUCCCAAAGAAGGACGGCGCAGAAACAGUCUCUAAUUUCAAGCCAAUUAGUCUAGUUCACUCCGUAGCUAAGCUGAUCACCAAAGUCCUCUCCAUGCGGCUCUCCAACGUCAUUGACUCCAUAAUCUCGCCGGCACAAUCUGCUUUGCUGGCAAAGAAAAGCACGCACGACAGCUUCCUCUACGUCCAGAAUGCAGUUAGGUCUCUACACAGGAAAAAAAACGCCCGCGCUCCUGAUCAAGCUUGA
This 714-nucleotide ribosomal RNA is filed under the name Triticum aestivum (bread wheat). Its description in RNAcentral is "partial small subunit ribosomal RNA". The record is from RNAcentral. Lineage: Eukaryota; Viridiplantae; Streptophyta; Magnoliopsida; Poales; Poaceae.